CAGCAGCCGCGGUAAUACGAAGGGGGCUAGCGUUGUUCGGAAUCACUGGGCGUAAAGGGUGCGUAGGCGGGAUCUUAAGUCAGGGGUGAAAUCCCGAGGCUCAACCUCGGAACUGCCUUUGAUACUGGGGUCCUUGAGUCCGGAAGAGGUGAGUGGAACUGCGAGUGUAGAGGUGAAAUUCGUAGAUAUUCGCAAGAACACCGGUGGCGAAGGCGGCUCACUGGUCCGGAACUGACGCUGAGGCACGACAGCGUGGGGAGCAAACAGGAUAAGAUACCCGCGUAGUCCCUGUCUCUUAUAA
RNAcentral lists this ribosomal RNA (301 nucleotides) under uncultured bacterium. RNAcentral's name for it is "partial 16S ribosomal RNA". It matches the Rfam family "Bacterial small subunit ribosomal RNA", at positions 509 to 809 of the family's 1533-position model. The record is from RNAcentral.